CCUACGGGAGGCAGCAGUGAGGAAUAUUGGUCAAUGGGCGGAAGCCUGAACCAGCCAAGUCGCGUGAGGGAAUAAGGCCCUACGGGUCGUAAACCUCUUUUGCCGGGGAGCAAGGGCGGGGACGUGUCCCGGCCCGGAGAGUACCCGGAGAAAAAGCAUCGGCUAACUCCGGGCCAGCAGCCGCGGUAAUAGGAGGGAUGCGAGCGUUAUCGGGAUUUAUUGGGUUUAAAGGAUCUGUAGGGGGGCUUUUAGCUCAGCGGUAAAAAUUCGGGGCUAACCCCCGUACGGCCGUUGAAACUGGGGGCCUUGAGUGGGCGAGAGGAAGGCGGAAUGCGUGGUGUAGCGGUGAAAUGCAUAGAUAUCACGAAGAACCCCGAUUGCGAAGGCAGCCUUCCGGAGCCCUACUGACGCUGAGGCACGAAAGUGUGGGGAUCGAACAGGAUUAGAUACCCUUGUAGUC
RNAcentral lists this ribosomal RNA (460 nucleotides) under uncultured bacterium. RNAcentral describes it as "partial 16S ribosomal RNA". It matches the Rfam family "Bacterial small subunit ribosomal RNA", at positions 338 to 795 of the family's 1533-position model. The record is from RNAcentral.